UUCUAUAGGAACUGGACGAUAUAUCCUAUUUGGUCGAAUACCUAGAGACAAACUCCUAUGUUUCUUUCAUUACGGUAUUUCUGGACAAGUUCCUGGAUAACAAGCCUAAAGUUUUCUUAUUGAUGAUGUGAGCGGUUCAAAUUGAUUUGAUCUUUCCCACUCAUUUUGGACGGAACUUGAUGCUCGGCGCUCCCAGCGUCGGCUAGCAUCAAGCCGCCGCCUGCGCGGACGACAACCUCGCCUCGGUUAUGUAGGUUGGUGUUUGGGAACCAUUAAUUAAUCUAGGUCUGAAAUUCAGAUCUGGUGGAAGAAGAAAUUAGCUUUUGUGGCAUUGUCUAAAGACUGGAUUUUUAUUUAUUUUUUCAUCACAAAAAUUGGAGCAAGAUUACUGAAGAGGGGUUAUAUAGUUGUCCAGUAUGCAAUGCUCAUCUUGGUUCUGCUCCACUUCAAAUGCUCAGGAUGGACCAUCGUUGGUAAAGCAUGAUGAACAAUUUCAACAAUGAAGGAAGAAGAGAACAACAUGCAGGAAGUGGACUAAAUGUGGAGAUUACUCUGCAAGGACGAAGAUUGCUACCUAGUUUGCAAAUAAGUCGAUUGAUCGAACUGUGGCUGCAAAUGUUUUCUACCUCGGAAAGGAAAACGGCAAUUGUCGAUCAGUUCGUCCGCACAGGAGUUUGUCCUGCCUCUUACAUAUGCUCGUAAUUAACCUGCUUUUUAAUUUCUCCGUAAAUAAAUUAUGACUAUUAGAAUCUUAAUUCGAUUAUUGUCAAACUAGCCUUUUUCUGCACAAUUAUCGUACUUUUUAAGACCUUAAUUAUUUAAUUAGCAGAUUUGCUACCAAACCUUGGUUUAAUUUCUAUAAUAUACUUUAUUGUGA
Molecule: long non-coding RNA, 877 nt
Organism: Erythranthe guttata (spotted monkey flower)
Lineage: Eukaryota; Viridiplantae; Streptophyta; Magnoliopsida; Lamiales; Phrymaceae
Source: RefSeq, a predicted model, not a curated record